Molecule: ribosomal RNA, 497 nt
Filed under: uncultured bacterium
Lineage: Bacteria
Description: partial 16S ribosomal RNA
Rfam family: Bacterial small subunit ribosomal RNA
Source: RNAcentral
GAUGAACGCUGGCGGCGUGCCUAAUACAUGCAAGUCGAGCGAACAGACGAGGAGCUUGCUCCUCUGACGUUAGCGGCGGACGGGUGAGUAACACGUGGAUAACCUACCUAUAAGACUGGGAUAACUUCGGGAAACCGGAGCUAAUACCGGAUAAUAUAUUGAACCGCAUGGUUCAAUAGUGAAAGACGGUUUUGCUGUCACUUAUAGAUGGAUCCGCGCCGCAUUAGCUAGUUGGUAAGGUAACGGCUUACCAAGGCAACGAUGCGUAGCCGACCUGAGAGGGUGAGCAGGCACACCGGAACUGAGACACGGUCCAGACUCCGACGGGAGGCAGCAGUAGGGAAUCUUCCGAAAUGGGCGAAAGCCUGACGGAGCAACGCCGCGUGAGUGAUGAAGGUCUUCGGAUCGUAAAACUCUGUUAGUAGGGAAGAACAAAUGUGUAAGUAACUAUGCACGUCUUGACGGUACCUAAUCAGAAAGCCACGGCUAACUACGUG